GGUUAUGGCUCAGCGGUAGAGCGCAUGCCUAGCACGUGUGAGACCCUGGAUUCAAUUCUCAGCACCA
This 67-nucleotide transfer RNA is filed under the name Marmota monax (woodchuck). Its description in RNAcentral is "tRNA.Ala". Lineage: Eukaryota; Metazoa; Chordata; Mammalia; Rodentia; Sciuridae. The record is from RNAcentral.